This 72-nucleotide transfer RNA is filed under the name Camelus ferus (Wild Bactrian camel). It matches the Rfam family "tRNA". Rfam says of the family: Transfer RNA (tRNA) molecules are approximately 80 nucleotides in length. Their secondary structure includes four short double-helical elements and three loops (D, anti-codon, and T loops). Lineage: Eukaryota; Metazoa; Chordata; Mammalia; Artiodactyla; Camelidae. The record is from Rfam by way of RNAcentral.
GAGGGUAUAGCUCAGUGGUAGAGUGCAUGCCUAGCAUGCACGAGGUCCUGGGGUCAAUUCCCAGUACCUCCA